Molecule: unclassified non-coding RNA, 214 nt
Filed under: Hevea brasiliensis (rubber tree)
Lineage: Eukaryota; Viridiplantae; Streptophyta; Magnoliopsida; Malpighiales; Euphorbiaceae
Source: RNAcentral
AUUAAGAGAGAGAAAAGGAGAAAGAAGCAGGAGGAAUCAUUACGUGAAGCUAGAAAAAACUACCAACAUAUGGCAAUUGUGUGGGCAAAUUUAGCCCGGGAUUCAAAUGUGGCAACAGCCCUUGGUUUGGUAUUUUUUGUUAUUUUUUACCGAACUGUGGUGUUCAGCUACAGGAGACAAAAGAAGGAUUAUGAGGAUCGAUUAAAGAUUGAGA